GCUGGGCAUAGUGGCAUGCACCUGUAGUCCUAGCUACUCAGGGGGCUGAGGCAGGGGGAUCACUUGAGCCCAGGAGUUCAAGGCUGCAGUGAGCUAUGAUGGUGCCACUGCAUUCUAGCCUGGGCAACAGAGUGAAACACUGUCUCUA
RNAcentral lists this non-coding RNA (148 nucleotides) under Homo sapiens (human). Lineage: Eukaryota; Metazoa; Chordata; Mammalia; Primates; Hominidae. The record is from Rfam by way of RNAcentral.